Molecule: long non-coding RNA, 357 nt
Filed under: Erythranthe guttata (spotted monkey flower)
Lineage: Eukaryota; Viridiplantae; Streptophyta; Magnoliopsida; Lamiales; Phrymaceae
Description: long non-coding RNA (EGUT_LNC002714)
Source: RNAcentral
AUUGAAGUAUCCUAAUAAAUUUCAUAUCAUAUAACAUCCGACACUAUUUGAAAAGUAAACAAUACAAAAAUAUUUUACUCGCUAACAUCCAACUCCCCAAAAUUUUGUAGUGACUCCCAUGUUUAGUUUCCUCCAUGUAGUUCUUCCAUUUUCUGUCAUGAAGAAUUGAAAAAAAUCAGUAUAUUGUACUUAAUACUACAAAGAAAGAGAUAGAGAACGAUUAAGUAAAUCAAUUGAUUCAUUCAAUUUGAAGAAAAAAAAUUAAACUUAGAAUAUAGAGAUGCGGAUUGAAUGCUUACCGAUACUCUAAAACAUAACCACUUUAUCUGUUGGCCAUGCUACUGUAGUGCCUAUGGC